CUAUUCGUAAUCAUAUAAGUUAUGAAACAAGGAAGAACUUGUAGGAACUUGUUUAUGUUGAAAUAAUAAGGUUGUUUGAUAAUAAGAAGCAAGAAUGAUGGUUAAAAGGAUUUAGACCAUGUUAAGUCAUGUGAAGUAAAAUCAUAAGUAGUUAUACUUUUAUAAGUUAUUGACUAAUGAAGAACAAGUAAGAGCUUAUCAUGUAAAGUUAAUAAGGUAUGUAUGCCAAGAUGCUAAUAUGAUGGUUAGAAUCCAUUUAGAACAAUGAUCAAAUCGUUAGUAAAGAAGUUAUGCCAGAAUUCACACGAUUAGAUGAUAAUCGUCGAAUUCGUGAAAACCUCGGAAUGGGAGUUGAAUUUUGAUAUUGAACUUGGAAACAUUAGUUUUCAAUGGAGACAAGUCAUAUUUGGCAUUAUAGAGUUACGGACUCGAAAAUGACCGAAUUCCGACUUAGAACGAAGAAACGGGCGUUGAACGUUCACGAUCGUUUAUCGUUUUCGUUAAAAAUGAACUAAUAGGUGAAAUUUUAGUAAACAAAGUCAAAUAGAUAAAAUUCUUGUAUGAACGCAUAGAUUAUGAAAUUUGUGAACCGUAGGCUUUUGAACGGACCAAUUCGGACUUCAAACGAAGAAGUUAUACGUCCGGGAAGUUCGUAAAAAUUUUAAAACUGCAAAAUUGUCUGAGGCACAGAGUCCGCGUCGUGGCGCGACUCAUAGCCUUACAGCUCACGCCGCAGCACAAGGCUUGAACCGAGCAUACUGCUAACUCGCGCCACUAUGCGAGAUGUAGAGUAAAUGGUGGUGCCGCGGUGCCAGUCCCAAGAAAUUGCUAGAAAAGAAUGUGUACAAGUAUAGAAUGAAAGAUAACUCAUUAGUAAUGAACUAAGGUGUUAAUAUAACAUUGUUAAGGCAUUGUUAGACACUUAAUGUAUGACGAUUAAAGGUUAAUAAUAAAUUGAAGGUGAACGUAAUGAAAGAAACGUAAUGUGCGAAGCUGACUAUAGAAAUUUGUUGACCAAGUCGAUUAUGAAUCCAAUGGUUUGCAAUACCAGUAUGGAUUAUGUAAUUACUUAAUGAAUAAUGAUAAGACCUUUCCUAAAUCACUAUUAUAGUGAUGACUUUAAGAAUUUAAUGUUGUUUAAUGAGUAGUUAAACGACGAACGUAAAGUAUAAGGAACGUGAACCGUAUUCAAUAAUGAUAAGAACUAUAACGUUAAGAGUUACAAUUAAAGGUUGUUAAGUAAUACGUAAAUGUAAACGGUAUGCAAUAAAGUGUACUUAACUAACGACGACCGAGUUUCGAUUAAUAACGUAAGGAUGUUAGUAAGCCGUGAGGAAGGAUGGUUAACUCGAAACGAGUUAGAUUAAUGAAGUAAAUCUACGUAAGACAUAGAAGAGAAAGAAGUUGGUAAGAAUAAUGUAAAACAUAAUGGCAAGCCGGAACCAAUAGUAACAAAUCUAAUAUAUGAUUAGAUUGAGAUGAAGGGUAAGAUUCAUUAGGAAUCAUGUAUAUUCAUUUAUGACCUAAUGUGGUAUGUUAUGUGGUUAUGUAUUGUAGAGACUGUAAAGACUGAAAGGAAAAGUUAUUAUACUGUUGAUGAGUGAGUUUUAUACCCAUGAAUUGGAUACAUUCGGGCUUAAUUUAUUGUUGUUCUUAAGUCUUUUAGGAUGUUUUUAUGUGUUUGUGUCUAUUCAUGCAUGUUUUAUGUUAUUUUAUAGGAAUUGGGACAAAAGGAAAUAGAGAAGUCGUUUGUUAUUAUAAACGUAGGUGAGGCGUAAAAGACUUCUUUUGCGACUUGCAUGAUGAAAGUGGAAGCUAACUUUUGGUGGGAGGCUCACUAGGGUGGGGCUAGAACCGAUGGGGUAACGUGGGAAUAGUUCAAGAAGGUUUUCUUCAAGAAUUAUUUCCUCUACAAGCAUUUAAGGGAGGAAGGAGAUUAAUUUCUUAGGAAUUAAGCAAAGGGACAUGAUGGUUCCCCAGUACGCAGCCAGAUUCGAUGAAUUUGCAAGGUUUGAUCCACACUGAGUGGACACUAAGGAGAGGAAGGCUCGUAGGUUUGAGCAGGGCCUGAAACCUUGGCUCUAUAGUAGGGUUUCUGAGUUCAAGAGUGUUUCCUGUGGGACCAUUUUGAAAAAGGUGAUUAUAGCCGAGGGUGGUAGUGAGGUGUUGACUCAAUAUCAUAAAGAGAGGGAGAAUAAGAGCAAGAGGAAAGGGAGGAACAAAGGUAGAGAAUACCAGUGGCAAUAUGCUAAAAAGAAAGAAUUUUUUUUACUCCGGGAAUACUAGAGUGGGACAAGGGGAUCCUAAGCGUAAGAUCAAAGUGUGUAAGACAUGUGGAAAGACUCAUCUAGGAGUCUGUCUGAAAGGGAUUAUAAGUAUCUUUAAACAUUACGGUAGAGAAUGUGGAAAUAACUUUCGUUAAUUAUAUUCGUGGAAAUGGCUUCAUGAAUAAGGAAUGUAAGCAAGUAUCGGUAGAUAAGUACCGAUAAAGUUGAGAUAAUUUGAAGUAAUUCUUGAUACGAAUGAGUUGAGUAACUAUAGAACUUUAAUAAAUUGUUAGAAUAAAAGUAUGGAUCUUCAGUUUUCUAAGUAACCCAAGGUAGUAUUUUAUGGUAAUAAAAUACCGCGAUGCUCUUGUUGUCUAAUGGUGACGCAAGUUAGGAGGAUGUUAAGGAAGAAGAUGAGUCGUUCAGUUACGUAUCGACUAUCGUAACAGGAGUAAGUUAGCAAUUAAGAAUGAAUACCCAUGCCCUAGGAUCGAUGAUCUAUUGGAUCAGUUGAAGAGGGAAAAGAAUUUUUCUAAAAUUGAUUUGCAUACGGGGUAUAGUCGGUGAAACUAAGUAAGAAGGAGGAGGUACCUAAGAUGACAUUUAGACCUCGUUAUAGUUAUGACGAGUCUCUGGUUAUGUCGUUUGGAUUGACUAGUGUACGGAAAUUUGACUUUCCGGAAGGGGUGCUGAGCAAGUUGGUGGCAAAUUGAUAGGUACCCUUGUGAGGUGCUAUGUUUGAAAGUACCAUUAGCGUCACAGGGUGUUCAAAUAAUAUUUGGAUGAGGGUGUUGUAAUGAUCAUUGGUGAUAUUCUAGUCUAAUUUAAGACGUCAGAAGAUCACGCUGAACAUUUGGAGUUAGUGUGAGAAACACUACGGAGGGAGAAGUUAGAUACGAAAUUCACUACGUGUGAAUUGUAGCUUAAAGAGAUAGAUAAAUUUGUUAUUAAGAAGUAUGUUGGGAAUGAGAAGUGAGAAAAUAAUUUUAGAAGCUAAAAGGAAGGUUAAGUGAGGUACCUGUAUUGUCUCUAUAAGAUGAUAUAGGGAAUUUUGUAGUGUAUCUCGAUGUUUCGCAUAGAUGACGAGAUUACGUGCUUAUGUAGCAUGGCAAAGUCAUUAGGUAUGCAUCACGCCAGUUAAUGGAUUAAAAGAAGGCUUAUGAUCUAUAAUUGGCAGCUGUAGUUUUUGAAUUAAAAAUUUGAAUAUAGUAUUUAUACGGUGAGAAGUGUGAGAUAUACACGGACUCUAAGAGUCUGAAAUAUAUCUCUAUACAGAAGAAGUUGAAUAUGAAGUAGAGAAGGUGAUUAGAAUGGAUAAGAGGUUAUGACUAUGAUAUGUUAUAUCAUACAUGGAAGGUAAACGUAGAAGCCGACGUGUUAAAUAGGAAGGGUAGGGAAAAGCUAUCGAUGUUAACGACUCAGAAUGAGUUACUAACGGAGAUGGAAAGAACGGAGCUAGAAGUUAAAUUACGGAAUGAAGUGGUAGAAAUGUUAUUCACGACGUAGGCUCAAUCCACGAUAAUAGAACGAGUUAAUUAAAUACAACUAGGUAACGAGAAGUGCGAGCGAGUGAAGAAGAGGAUGCAAGAUAAAGAGAAGAUCAAGUAUAAUCUUGUUUUGAAGGAGGAAUUUGAGUUGCAAAUAAUUCUAAAUUAAAAGCUAAUGAAAGGGUAAUAGCGUAAUGUGUCAGUAAGUAUGUAAACUUCCAACUCAAAUUAUUGUUAGGAAGUGACAAGUCAUGAAAAAUAAGAUAAUACCUUCGGUGAAGGUAAGUGUGAGGAACCACAAUGCUGAAGAAGCAAAGUGGGGACUCGAGAUUAAAAUAAAGGAAAAUGUUUCCUCAAUGGUGUAUGUAUUAUUAGCGUGAUUCUGGGGACAUAAUCCUUAUAAGGGGGAAAGAGUGUAACGCCCCAGAAAAUUUGGAUUUUUGAGGAUUAAAUUUUUUAUUUUUAUUAUGUGGAUUAAAAUGAAUAUAAUUAAUUAAUUAUGGGAGUAAGCUAUUUAAAGGUCGUUAUAUGACCUAGACAUAGCGGAAUGUCGUAGUAUUUUGACUACGUGGUAGAAUUAAAGUGUUUGAAAUUCCAAGAAGAAAAUAAAAGCUUUCCGAGAAAUUUUUUGAAAAACACUAUUCACGCAUUUCUGCUCGGGAAUUAUUUUUGAAUUUCCGAGAAAUACAUAAUGAUAGAAUAUCGAGGUGAGAUGAAAUAUCCAAUAAAAUACUUUUUUGCCAGCGGACUUAAAACCUAACGGUUAGGGAAAGUAAAUUCCGAGAAGGAAUUUAAAUGCGAUUAAUGAAUUAAAGAAAUUAUUGUAUUAUAUGUAAGUAUUGUACGAGGUAAUGAAUACGAGUAUAAUACGAGGUGUUAUACGAGUAUGAAUGAAUGAUGGUAUGUCGUAUUGAAUAAGUAUACGAGUUAGAAUACGAGAUUAAUACGUGAAUUAUACGUUUUACGGCUUUAAGCCAUAUAUAUUGAAUUUGUAGAAUUGUGUAAGAAAUUGUAAAGCCCAAUAAGAAUUGUUAAGGCCCAAGUGUAGAGAUGUGUAAGCCCAAUGCAAGAUAAUGUUAAAGCCCAAAGUGAUGUAAGGAGCAAGCCCAAUGUAUAAGUUAAGAUUAGUUAAGCUAAAAGCCCAAAGUAAGAACCAAUGAGUUAUUGGAUGGUUUAUACCCAUGGGGCAACCCAUGGAUGACCCAAAGUGGUAGCCAAGUAAAGUACUUGGUGGCUAAGCAAUGGAUAAGUUAUGUAAUGACCAAGUAGAUUUAAGUGUUAAGCAAAGAGUAAGUUAAGUAACUUAAAGGCUAAGCAAAGUGCUUAUGUGUGAUAAGUAAAGUGCUUAUGUGUGGCAACCAAGUUAACUUAAAGGCUAAGUGUUGUGGUGGUCAAGCAAAGUGUGUGGAGGCCAAGUUAACUUAGUGCUUAAGCUUGGAAUAGUAAGGAGGUGAUUAAGGAGGUGGAGGGGAUUAAUGACCAUUAUACCCUAACCUAGCAAGUCCUAUAAAUAGCAAGCUUGGAUUUCAUUAUUCCUUGUUAAAUUUUCAUCCAACAACUUCUCUUAGAGAGCAACUUAUUGGUUAGAGGGAAUAAGCACUUGUAAGUUAAACUUUUAUUGUGAGAUUUUCAAGAAGCAAGAAGAAGAACAAAGCUUAGUCAAGUGAUUAUCAAGGGUAAGAACUUUAACCAUGAAUUUCUUUCUCUUCCAUUGUUAGAGAGGUGGGUAGUGGUAGAACAUGCAUGCUAAGGAAUGAUAGGAAUGAUUAAUCAAUGGACUUAAGCCGUAUAAGUCAUGGAUAAGCUAUUCGUAAUCAUAUAAGUUAUGAAACAAGGAAGAACUUGUAGGAACUUGUUUAUAUUGAAAUAAUAAGGUUGUUUGAUAAUAAGAAGCAAGAAUGAUGGUUAAAAGGAUUUAGACCAUGUUAAGUCAUGUGAAGUAAAAUCAUAAGUAGUUAUACUUUUAUAAGUUAUAGACUAAUGAAGAACAAGUAAGAACUUAUCAUGUAAAUAAGUUAAUGAGGUAUGUAUGCCAAGAUGCUAAUAUGAUAGUUAGAAUCCAUUUAGAACAAUGAUCAAAUCGUUAGUAAAGAAGUUAUGCCAGAAUUCACACGAUUAGACGAUAAUCGUCGAAUUCGUGAAAACCUCGAAAUGGGAGUCGAAUUUUGAUAUUGAGCUUGGAAACAUUAGUUUUCAAUUAAGACAAGUCAUAUUUGGCAUUAUAGAGUUGCGGACUCGAAAAUGACCGAAUUUCGACUUAAAACGAAGAAACGAGCGUUGAACGUUCACGAACGUUUAUCGUUUUCGUUAAAAAUGAACUAAUAGGUGAAAUUUUAGUAAACAAAGUCAAAUAGAUAAAAUUCUUGUAUGAACGCAUAGAUUAUGAAAUUUGUGAACCG
Molecule: long non-coding RNA, 6153 nt
Filed under: Panax ginseng (ginseng)
Lineage: Eukaryota; Viridiplantae; Streptophyta; Magnoliopsida; Apiales; Araliaceae
Description: long non-coding RNA (PGIN_LNC002906)
Source: RNAcentral